This 71-nucleotide transfer RNA is filed under the name Bos taurus (domestic cattle). It matches the Rfam family "tRNA". From Rfam's summary of the family: Transfer RNA (tRNA) molecules are approximately 80 nucleotides in length. Their secondary structure includes four short double-helical elements and three loops (D, anti-codon, and T loops). Further hydrogen bonds mediate the characteristic L-shaped molecular structure. tRNAs have two regions of fundamental functional importance: the anti-codon, which is responsible for specific mRNA codon recognition, and the 3' end, to which the tRNAs corresponding amino acid is attached (by aminoacyl-tRNA synthetases). tRNAs cope with the degeneracy of the genetic code in two manners: having more than one tRNA (with a specific anti-codon) for a particular amino acid; and 'wobble' base-pairing, i.e. permitting non-standard base-pairing at the 3rd anti-codon position. The record is from Rfam by way of RNAcentral. RNAcentral also lists the same sequence under 5 other names. Lineage: Eukaryota; Metazoa; Chordata; Mammalia; Artiodactyla; Bovidae.
UCCCAGUUGGCUCAGUGGUAAAGGACCUGUCUGCCAAGCAGGAGAUGCAGGUUUGAUCCCUGUGUCAGGAA